Molecule: ribosomal RNA, 274 nt
Filed under: uncultured bacterium
Lineage: Bacteria
Description: partial 16S ribosomal RNA
Rfam family: Bacterial small subunit ribosomal RNA
Source: RNAcentral
AUACGGAGGGUGCAAGCGUUAUUCGGAAUCACUGGGCGUAAAGGACGCGUAGGCGGGUUGGCAAGUCAGAUGUGAAAUCCUACAGCUUAGCUGUAGAACUGCAUUUGAAACUGCUAACCUAGAGUAUGGGAGGGGGAGAUGGAAUUAGUGGUGUAGGGGUAAAAUCCGUAGAUAUCACUAGGAAUACCGAAAGCGAAGGCGAUCUCCUGGAACAUAACUGACGCUAAGGCGUGAAAGCGUGGGGAGCAAACAGGAUUAGAAACCCUUGUAGUCC